Molecule: non-coding RNA, 1980 nt
Organism: Cicer arietinum (chickpea)
Lineage: Eukaryota; Viridiplantae; Streptophyta; Magnoliopsida; Fabales; Fabaceae
Source: RefSeq, a predicted model, not a curated record
GUCACAACUCGGGUCACUCCACAUUGAACUUUGAGCGAUAAACCAUAACCACCACCACCACCUCCAUUGGAGAAAAAAUGCUUCGCCGUUUGGGUGUAUGUCUCUGAAACGCGGCGGUUUGGGCCGGUUGUUUUUGGGCCCAAUGUCGAGCAGUAUAAUAAUGAGAAGCAGUAGUGUUAUUGGUAUAAUGCAAGAAAAGAGUGAACGUAUCGUUGUCUAGUGUCUUUCGUUCUCGUUCUCGUGUUUCUGAAGAUGGCGCUAACAAGACUACCAGAAAGAUUCCCAAUUGGUCUACGGGUAAUCGAUUUCAAUACCAAGUCAUGUCUUCUCAUUACUCUACAAAUUCUGUCACGGAGGCUAUCACAAAAGGGGCUUCUGAUUAUUGGAUUAAGCCAUUGGAAGAACGAGACUUCCAGACUAUGUGGAAGCAUGUCGUAAAAGGACUUAUUAUUAAUGAAAAUCAAAAUAUGAACGGCAUCUUCCAUAUCAACAACAAACGGGGGAGAGAACAAGUCGAUGUUCCAAAGCAAACAAUUGAUGAAAACCAUAGUCAUAAUGAUGAUUAUCCAUCCCCGGCAAAGAAGUUCCGGUGGUCAUGGACUCAACAGUUGCAUAAUCAAUUUGUAACAGUGGUCAAUGAAUUAGGCCUUGAAAAUGCAAAGCCCAAAAAAAUACUCAAAAUAAUGGAUGUUCCUGGUUUAACCCGAGAACACAUUGCUAGCCAUUUGCAGCAAAGGGUUUCAUGGUUCAAGUUUGUCGACUGCAUAUAGACAACUUUCACAUGCUUGGUAUGCAACAUUGUGUCUUUCCUAUUUUUAUUAUCUGUGAUUGAAGAUUGUUGGCACAAAUUGAAGGUACAUAUUCAUAUAUAAUAUUAAUCAAUCAGUGCAUCAAAAAGGAGAGAACAUUUCUUUCCACACUCAAUAGCCACUUUCACUGUCGGAAUUUGGCUUGUAUUAUGAGACAUUGCAUUUGCAGGUCCUAGCGCUUGGAAUUGAGAACUCACAAAUGUCUGAAGGGUUGUAUAAUGAAAGGACAAACUAGAAUUGCAUGGUAAAAUAAUGCAUCAGCUGAAGUGCUCCAAUUAAAAGGAUCCUUUUUUAACAAGUCGGUGAGAGGACCAACAAUGCUCGCAUAAGACUUGAUAAAUCUUCGAUAAUAUCUUGUCAAACCUAAAAAGCCCUUCAGUUAUUUGAGGUUCACCGGUCUUGUGGCCAAUCCACCACUGCCAUCACUUAAGAUUUUUCUUUUGUGACCCCUUCUCUUUAUAAUAUAUCUCCAACUUACCAAAUGAACAUUUAACAAACAAUUGAUGCUGUUGUAGCACCCAUUCUUUCGAAGUGUUGUAAGUGUAGUAGUGGCCAUGAGGAACUAUAGAGGAUGAGCAUAUCAUCAAAGAAUACCAGUACAUAUUUUCUUAAGGCCUUCUCAAAAAUAUUAUUAUUCAUCGAACAUUGGAAGGGUGGAAUUGUAUGGAGGGAGGCCUGCUGUAACAACAUAGCCAAUUCUGGUUCAAAGUUAAGGUGGCUUAAUCAGCAAUGGUUAUUAACAUUAUUUAGGCGAAUUUCAAUGAAUCUGCCUUAAGUAGAAUGAAUUAGCUUCCUUGUGUCAAAUUCAAUAGGUAAGACCAAUGCUUAUUAACCUUAGUUAGUAAUAACAAGUUUUAGUUUGUACUUAGAAUUUGAUAUUUCUAGAAGACUAUAUAUGGUGUGAUGUACUUUUAUUUCAUUAUUAUUUUUCAUAAUAAUUUUUUGCUACUUGAUGUUGAUAAUAUUACAAUGCUACCAUCUUUUUCAGUUAUAUGACUACUAUUACAUUUAUUCAUCAAGUCAACGGGUAAGAUCCUCUCAAAAUUUCCAUUAUCGAAGUUGUGUAUAUAUAGACACAUUUUUAGAACAUGUAACAAUGUAAUGUACAUUAAACAUUUAUAUCACUCUAUAAGUUUACACACAAAAUCAUAAUAAUGAAAUUCUCUAUUUU